UACGGGGGGAGCAAGCGUUGUUCGGAUUUACUGGGCGUAAAGGGCGCGUAGGCGGUCGUGACAAGUCACUUGUGAAAUCUCCGGGCUUAACUCGGAACGGUCAAGUGAUACUGUCGGGCUAGAGUGCGGAAGAGGCGAGUGGAAUUCCUGGUGUAGCGGUGAAAUGCGCAGAUAUCAGGAGGAACACCUAUUGCGAAGGCAGCUCGCUGGGACGUAACUGACGCUGAGACGCGAAAGCGUGGGGAGCAAACAGG
Molecule: ribosomal RNA, 254 nt
Filed under: uncultured bacterium
Lineage: Bacteria
Description: partial 16S ribosomal RNA
Rfam family: Bacterial small subunit ribosomal RNA
Source: RNAcentral